GCCCAAGACAAUUCAAAUUCAAAUUCAGAGUUAUCAGCUCCAUAAACAAACAGGAAAACAAUGUCAUAUUAUUUGUAUACCAUACAGCAUAUCGCCUUAGUAGAACACCCACAACUGAGGCUGAUGACGACGGCGAGGUCGACGUUGACUUUGACUUGGGGUUCAACUGGAAUCAAAAGAUGCCGCAAGCAUUUGGACUUUGGUUUUGGACGACAACGCAGCGAAUGUAAGCUGGACACGAAGGCCAGUUGUCAAUAUUUUUCAGUAUGGGCCUUGAAGAACUAAAUAUUUGCCUAGAAAUGCGUGCAUUUCACUUCUCACAUUGUGAAACAAAUCGAGUUCAAUGCAUUUGAUUAACACAUCGAGUAUCCAAAGUCAAGCCUCCUCCUCCUAAAUACCCACGAUCCGCAAACGAUUGCCCAUUGCCCGGCUAAUCAGCGCUCCAGACUCGCGGGAACCGGCGAUCAACAGUCAGCUCUUAAUUACAAUUAAAUUGUAUUUUAUUUAUUUUCUUUAUUCUAUUACAACACUAUAAUAAGUUUCAAUUAGAUUUCGUUCAACACGAUUCACAGUAAAAUUAAAUACAGUCCAAAGUCUCAAACUGAACACACACACACAUAUUAUGUGUAUGUAACACAACAAUUACGAUAAUAAAUAAGUACACAACUAUUAUUCUUAAACAAUCU
Drosophila virilis is the source of this 686-nucleotide non-coding RNA. The record is from RefSeq and is a predicted model, not a curated record. NCBI's taxonomy places the organism in Eukaryota, Metazoa, Arthropoda, Insecta, Diptera, Drosophilidae.